AUACAGAGGGUGCGAGCGUUAAUCGGAAUUACUGGGCGUAAAGCGCGCGUAGGCGGCUUGGUCAGUCGGAUGUGAAAGCCCCGGGCUUAACCUGGGAAGGCCAUCUGAGACUGUAUAACUAGAGAGCAGUAGAGGUAAGGGGAAUUUCCGGUGUAGCGGUGAAAUGCGUAGAGAUCGGAAGGAACACCAGAGGCGAAGGCGCCUUACUGGGCUGCAUCUGACACUGAGGCGCGAAAGCGUGGGUAGCAAACAGGAUUAGAAACCCCAGUAGUCC
RNAcentral lists this ribosomal RNA (274 nucleotides) under uncultured bacterium. RNAcentral describes it as "partial 16S ribosomal RNA". It matches the Rfam family "Bacterial small subunit ribosomal RNA", at positions 523 to 796 of the family's 1533-position model. The record is from RNAcentral.